RNAcentral lists this ribosomal RNA (915 nucleotides) under uncultured bacterium. RNAcentral's name for it is "bacterial SSU rRNA". It matches the Rfam family "Bacterial small subunit ribosomal RNA", at positions 8 to 916 of the family's 1533-position model. The record is from RNAcentral.
AGAGUUUGAUCCUGGCUCAGGAUGAACGCUAGCGACAGGCUUAACACAUGCAAGCCGAGGGGCAGCACGGGAGUAGCAAUACAACUGGUGGCGACCGGCGCACGGGUGAGUAACGCGUAUGCAACCUACCUAUCAGAGGGGAAUAACCCGGCGAAAGUCGGACUAAUACCGCAUAAAACAGGGGCACCGCAUGGUGAUAUUUGUUAAAGAAAUUCGCUGAUAGAUGGGCAUGCGUUCCAUUAGGUAGUUGGUGAGGUAACGGCUCACCAAGCCGACGAUGGAUAGGGGAACUGAGAGGUUGGUCCCCCACACUGGUACUGAGACACGGACCAGACUCCUACGGGAGGCAGCAGUGAGGAAUAUUGGUCAAUGGGCGGGAGCCUGAACCAGCCAAGUCGCGUGAAGGAAGAAGGAUCUAUGGUUCGUAAACUUCUUUUGCAGGGGAAUAAAGUGCAGGACGUGUCCUGUUUUGUAUGUACCCUGAGAAUAAGGAUCGGCUAACUCCGUGCCAGCAGCCGCGGUAAUACGGAGGAUCCGAGCGUUAUCCGGAUUUAUUGGGUUUAAAGGGUGCGUAGGUGGUUUGAUAAGUCAGCGGUGAAAGUUUGCAGCUUAACUGUAAAAAUGCCGUUGAAACUGUCGGACUUGAGUGUAAAUGAGGUAGGCGGAAUGCGUGGUGUAGCGGUGAAAUGCAUAGAUAUCACGCAGAACUCCGAUUGCGAAGGCAGCUUACUAAGCUACAACUGACACUGAAGCACGAAAGCGUGGGGAUCAAACAGGAUUAGAUACCCUGGUAGUCCACGCAGUAAACGAUGAUUACUAGCUGUUUGCGAUACACAGUAAGCGGCACAGCGAAAGCGUUAAGUAAUCCACCUGGGGGAGUACGCCGGCAACGGUGAAACUUAAAUGAAUUGACGG